Zootermopsis nevadensis is the source of this 754-nucleotide long non-coding RNA. RefSeq lists it as uncharacterized. Lineage: Eukaryota; Metazoa; Arthropoda; Insecta; Blattodea; Termopsidae. The record is from RefSeq and is a predicted model, not a curated record.
UUGUACCAUAAAAAUUGUUAAAAUAGAAAUUAAAUAUUUAUCGUAAGCUGUAUGAAGACGUAUUUGGGAAUGUUAUAGUUCAGUGAAUUGGUAAACUCAGCACUAGAUGAGGUGAUCAGCCAGCUUCAAAAUCCCUGAAAUUGUCCUAGAUGUGGCAAAGAUAAAUAUUGCAACCCCCUUCCUGGAAUUGAGAAUUUAAAAGUAUCAUGAGUGGUUAGAAUUAAAUGACAUUAAUCUGUUAUUUAGUUAUUAUAUUGCUAAUUUGAUGGAGGAUAAUAUGAACAGAAGCCCCCACUACAAUGCCCCUCUAUAUAUGGCCACCCUUGCAUUGCACCCAAGAAAGUCUCAAAAUAGAAAUUCCUUAUGUAAUUUCAAAGAGAAGCACCCAGUAAAGUGCUAACGCUGCUAGCUGCCAUCUACCAGAAUCUGUGGCCAUACAAAUACAUUAUUAAGCUUUAAAGUUAGCACCAUACCAUUUUGUUCUACAAGCUAUACUGGAAUAUUCAUACGCCUGAAGAUGGAGACAGUAUGUUUCUCUGAAACAAUGGUACCUACUUACAGGUAUACAUGGCAUCACAACCCAGAAGAACAUCACCACCACCUUGAGAACUUCAAAUCUCUCAUAUCUUCAGUGACUGCAUUUAUAUGCAGAACUGCCCUGUUUAUAACAGUGAAAGUAUGAAGAGUAUAAGUAAACAGUGUAUACAACUUGAGCCUGUCUGUACUUUCAUAAUAUACAAUGGAUAAAGCAGAA